This 248-nucleotide ribosomal RNA is filed under the name uncultured Lachnospiraceae bacterium. RNAcentral's name for it is "partial 16S ribosomal RNA". It matches the Rfam family "Bacterial small subunit ribosomal RNA", at positions 524 to 771 of the family's 1533-position model. Lineage: Bacteria; Bacillati; Bacillota; Clostridia; Lachnospirales; Lachnospiraceae. The record is from RNAcentral.
UACGUAGGGGGCAAGCGUUAUCCGGAAUCACUGGGUGUAAAGGGAGCGUAGACGGCAGGGCAAGCCUGGAGUGAAAGGCGGGGGCCCAACCCCCGGACUGCUCUGGGAACUGCCCGGCUGGAGUGCAGGAGAGGCAAUCGGAAUUCCGUGUGUAGCGGUGAAAUGCGUAGAUAUACGGAGGAACACCAGUGGCGAAGGCAGCGUACUGGCGCCGGACUGACGCUGAGGCACGAAAGCGUGGGGAUCGA